GUUACUUACUGCGCGUACCUCGAGGCGACCCGGCGUCCGUCCGAAAGAUUCGUAAAAUUCGAUGAAGCAUGGCCAAUCCAAAUCUAACGGAUAUGACGGAGGAGGAUGCGGCGGACUUGCAGUUUCCCAAAGACUGCCCGUCGAGUAGAACAGAGAAUAUUGGCCAUGACAUAGAACUCGUCGAGGUGUCAGUCGUGAAGGACGAAAUCCUUACUUCAGAUCCAAUGUGUUACGCGUGCAAAACCAACCUGAGGGAACCUUACGUGAGGUGCGCCGUGUGCCUCGACGUCGAACUCUGUCCUUCUUGUUUUUCUAACGGAUGCGAGACAGGCGAUCACAGAAACGAUCACGAUUACGUUAUAGCGAAGAACGAGUUCGAACUGGUAGACGGUAGCGGUUGGACGGCCAAGCAAGAAUUGGAGUUAUUAAACGUCGUGCAAGAGUGCGGCUUUGGUAAUUGGGUGGACGUGUCUAAGAGAAUAGACGGCAAGUCUACGGAGGAAUGCAAGGCGCACUACUUGGAGCACUACGUGGACAAUCAGACCCUCCCUGGAUUGCCAAAGAUCAACGAAACUAGAGCCAGUCUGUUCGGUUGCGAGCCAGUCCCGUAUUCCUACAAGUUGCACGACUUGGAGGAACCACCUAGAUUCGCUUCGGACACGCUCAACUGUAGAAUGUUAGCUGGAUACAAUGCCGCGAGAUCCGACUUCGAGGUGAACUUCGACAAUCACGCGGAGCUACUCGUGUCCGACUUAAAUUACGACCAAUUCGAUCCGGACGAUUCGGACGAGGAGUUGGGAAAGUCCUUGCAAGUGGCUAUCGUUCAAGCUUACAACAACAGACUGAAGGAACGUAAGAGACGAAGGAAGAUCAUACGAGAUCACGGACUGAUCGCGAUAAGGAGAACGAUGUCUUGGUUGCAGAGAUACGAAUCUACGAUAACGCGAGCCCUCGCGGAGAGGCUCUUGAUUUUCAUGCAACUCACGGGGGGUAUGGAUUUCGAUUACCUCAUGGAAGGUCUCCAUCGCGUUGGCGAACUUAAAAACUAUAUCAAUAAACUCGUCGACUUUCGCAUCAACGGGAUAAGAUGUUUCCAUAGCGUUUCGAUCUUUCAAAAACUAUCGAAGCUCCGCCAGGAGAACGAGAGGGAGAGAAAGCAAUAUCUGAAUAAUCCGGAGUACAGUUGGAGGAGCGUAUUGCCGGAUAACGUUGCGAAUUCCAACGCGUCGAUGGGACAUAACAUCCCGCAGAGAAGAGCGGCGCCACCUCUCGUGAUCAACGGUCUUCCAGGCUACGAAAGGCUUACCAGCGACGAAAAGCUAUUGUGCUCCGUGACCAGAGUGGUACCCGCCAGCUAUUUGGAUUACAAACACAUUUUAAUCGCGGAAAACAAAAAAUGUGGUUCUCUGCGUUUGGCACAGGCUCGCGUUCUCCUAAAAAUCGACGUCAAUAAAACCCGCAAGAUAUACGACUUCUUGGCGGACGAAGGAUACAUAAAAUUCGAGAACGCGGAAACGCUGUUAAUAUCCGAGGUGUACAUGCUGCUGGAACAUAGGAAAGCUCAGAACGAGUCCGCGGAAGAGGAACAAGAAUUUUCGGAGGUCUUUAUGAAGAGUUUGACGUAUACCAAUCGAUUUGGAAGAUUUAAAAAUAAAGAAACCAUCGCAGCGGUUCGAAGCUUGUUGAUGCAAAAGAAACUGCACAAGUUCGAACUCGCCUCCUUGGCGAACCUGUGCCCGGAAACUCCGGAAGAAGCCAAAGCCUUGAUUCCGAGCCUCGAAGGACGUCUGGAGGACGAGGAGCUACGAACGAUCCUGGAAGACAUACAAACCAAGAGAUCUUUGCAGUACUGAUCGCCUUCGUUUCCUUUCCCUUACGAUCGAUCGUACGACUGCAAAUAUCUGUCCUUUACGUAUUCCUAUCGAGAUACGCGCCGACUCUCAUUCCAUUUUUCAAUAAACCCGGGAGAAUGUCGCGUCCAGUUGCACAAUCGCAU
Molecule: RNA transcript, 1996 nt
Organism: Vespula pensylvanica (western yellowjacket)
Lineage: Eukaryota; Metazoa; Arthropoda; Insecta; Hymenoptera; Vespidae
Gene: Ada2a
Gene name: DNA-directed RNA polymerase II subunit Rpb4-like
Exons: 5
Source: RefSeq, a predicted model, not a curated record